Molecule: ribosomal RNA, 429 nt
Filed under: Actinomycetes bacterium
Lineage: Bacteria; Bacillati; Actinomycetota; Actinomycetes
Description: Actinobacteria bacterium partial 16S ribosomal RNA
Rfam family: Bacterial small subunit ribosomal RNA
Source: RNAcentral
UAGGGAAUCUUCCGCAAUGGGCGAAAGCCUGACGGAGCAACGCCGCGUGAGUGAUGAAGGUCUUCGGAUCGUAAAACUCUGUUAUUAGGGAAGAACAAAUGUGUAAGUAACUAUGCACGUCUUGACGGUACCUAAUCAGAAAGCCACGGCUAACUACGUGCCAGCAGCCGCGGUAAUACGUAGGUGGCAAGCGUUAUCCGGAAUUAUUGGGCGUAAAGCGCGCGUAGGCGGUUUUUUAAGUCUGAUGUGAAAGCCCACGGCUCAACCGUGGAGGGUCAUUGGAAACUGGAAAACUUGAGUGCAGAAGAUGAAAGUGGAAUUCCAUGUGUAGCGGUGAAAUGCGCAGAGAUACGGAGGAACACCAGUGGCGAAGGCGACUUUCUGGUCUGUAACUGACGCUGAUGUGCGAAAGCGUGGGGAUCAAACAGG